Molecule: ribosomal RNA, 467 nt
Filed under: uncultured bacterium
Lineage: Bacteria
Description: partial 16S ribosomal RNA
Rfam family: Bacterial small subunit ribosomal RNA
Source: RNAcentral
GAUGAACGCUGGCGGCGUGCUUAACACAUGCAAGUCGAACGGAAAGGCUCCUGCUUGCUGGGGUACUCGAGUGGCGAACGGGUGAGUAACACGUGGGUGAUCUGCCCUGCACUUCGGGAUAAGUCUGGGAAACUGGGUCUAAUACCGGAUAGGACCACAUUUUGGAUGGUGUGGUGGAGAGUUUUUCGGUGUGGGAUGAGCUCGCGGCCUAUCAGCUGGUUGGUGGGGUAAUGGCCUACCAAGGCGUCGACGGGUAGCCGGCGUGAGAGAGUGUACGGCCACAUUGGGGCUGUGAGACGGCGCAGACUCCCACGGGAGGCAGCGAUGGGGAAUAUUGCGCAAUGGGCGCAAGCGUGAUGCAGAGAAGCCGCGUGGGGGAGGAGGGCCUUCGGGUUGUAAACUCCUUUCGCUAGGGACGAAGCGCUUUUGUGACGGUACCUGGAGAAGAAGCACCGGCUAACUACGUG